RNAcentral lists this long non-coding RNA (1324 nucleotides) under Anser brachyrhynchus (Pink-footed goose). Its description in RNAcentral is "lncRNA (ENSABRG00000011162.1)". Lineage: Eukaryota; Metazoa; Chordata; Aves; Anseriformes; Anatidae. The record is from RNAcentral.
GAGGAGGAGGAGGAGGAGGAGGAGGAGGGGGAAGUUUAUGGCCGAAAGGGCGGGGGGAGGCUGCCGGCAGGGCGCUGGGAUUGAUGUGUCUGGGUCGGGGGAGGGAGCGGCCGCACGAAAGUCGGUCGGCCCCGGUGUCAGCUCGGGACAGGCCGCCUGGUGCGCCCCGGAGGGUCAACCUCACUUUGGCUGGCUUGUCUUCUUGAUUUCUUCAUUGGUGGUGCUAAAGAGAGUUGAUGAGACAGGAAGAAAGCAGCAGGGAUUGCUGAGUCUGAACAUCACUUCUGCUAAGCUUGGAGCAGCACUGAAGCUAUUUUAAACAAGAACAUGAGUUGAUUACAUAAGAUUCAGGGUGGAUGGAUAGCGGCAGAGCUGUUGGACCCUGCUGCACGACACUAUUGGCUUACAGACUUUUCUGUCCAGGCAGUCCCUUUUUCCUGGGAAAGGACAGAAACUGCCAAUUCUACGGCACCCUCCUUUGCCAACAAAUGGUCCCUUAUUGAAACUGGAGCUGCCAUGACUGCAGGCAGGGGAAGAGGAUGCUGCGGGCACGAAGCUGGUCUGGAAGAUGGGAGAAUGCCCAUAUUUUGGUCCAGGCCCUGGGGAUGCUGAGGCUGUAUUGCCCUGACUUUGUCACAUUCCUUUAUUUCUGUGGGGACCUGCAAACCCAAUUUGUCAAUCACAAUGCAGUAUACUAGCAGCUUAUUUUGUAUUCAACCAGUAGGAAUUAUUUACAGAUAAUUCUCCUUUGUCCACAUAUCAUUUAGAGAAACGCUUGGUGUGUAUAUACCUGUCAACCAGACUUCUUUAUUUAUAUUGCCAUAUGUAAAAUAUAUACAUAUUGCCAACAUAGUUAUGUUGCUCAUUGACACACAUUAAGCACUACAGAGGUACAAAAUCACAACAUGUCGUGAUGCAUAUUUAAAUAUAUUGUUUAUCUUAUUCUUCAGGGUAACAGGUUAUUUAUCUUGUUUCGUGUAUUCAGUUAUAUAUUAUUGCUCAAAACCAUGCAAAAUGAAAAAAAAACAACAAAAAAGAGCAAAUGAAAAGACAAAGUCUUUUGUACAAGAAGCUCACAAAUUAAAUUUAGAUUGAGGUGAUGAAUUAGGACAACAAACAGAAGUGGGGCAGUAGGAUAAGGAAGGACAAGGGUUACAGAAAUAAGAUUACAUGCAAUCCAUGCAGUAUGCUCUAAUACAGUUCUUUAUGCCCUGCUCUAGCCAGAUGCUGCAGAGAAGUGGCCAAAGAUUAGCUCUCAGGGGCAGGCAACCGUCUUUGUGGUGUUUGUUUUUAUAGUGCUUAGUUCAAUGGGACACUAAUCCCC